UGACAACAAUGGGAACUCUUAUUCUGAUGUGUUCUGGUUUUCUUCAUUAAUUCAGUCUGUCGGAGAACUUGAAUUUGGGCAACAGUUUCUAGGUAUAUAUUGAGUCAUUGAUUACCAGAUUUUCACCAUGGGGGGAGCUCGUUCUAGGAAGAGAAACCAUCAAGAUGAUGAAGAUAGUUUUCGCAGAGGGAUUUCCAGAAGGAUACAUUGAAUGAGGAGGGAAAAGGGAGGGGGUUUCUCGGGUACAUUGAUCUAUAAAUCUGGAAGAAGAAGAGGUGGAGAAGAAGACCCAGCAGCAACAAUAACCACAACAACAAGGAGGUUACUAGGAACAGCAGCAGAAGAAGAUCAUCGUCCAAAUCCUCUGCUCCUCUGCUCGAGUUGGUCUAUUUGUCGAGGGAGGAAUCCAAGUUCUAAUAAUAACCAAUCUUGGUCGAAAUCUACAAGGGAUUCUAAAAGUGGGUCUUGAAGAAAAUCGAUGUCAAUGCUAUAGGAUAUCGUUACUGUUUUGUUGAACUUCAGAAGUUGGAGAAACUUCAGGAAGAGGAUCUUGUUGAAAGGCCGUUCAAGAAGAAACAGAUCAGGAUCAGGUUUCCUGAAUGGGGAAGAAGUGGGAGAUUUGCUCCAUUUGGAGGUGUUGUUUAGCAGAGCAAAUCUCACAAUUGAAAGAGGAGAGAAACUGGCCAUUAUUGGCCCAAAUGGAUGUGGCAAGAGUACUUUGCUGAAACUAAUAAUGGGUUUACAAAAGCCAAUAGCAGGUGA
Molecule: long non-coding RNA, 762 nt
Organism: Rosa chinensis
Lineage: Eukaryota; Viridiplantae; Streptophyta; Magnoliopsida; Rosales; Rosaceae
Exons: 5
Source: RefSeq, a predicted model, not a curated record